AUUGAACGCUGGCGGCAGGCCUAACACAUGCAAGUCGAGCGGAUGAGAGGAGCUUGCUCUUCGAUUCAGCGGCGGACGGGUGAGUAAUGCCUAGGAAUCUGCCCAGUAGUGGGGGACAACGUUUCGAAAGGAACGCUAAUACCGCAUACGUCCUACGGGAGAAAGUGGGGGAUCUUCGGACCUCACGCUAUUGGAUGAGCCUAGGUCGGAUUAGCUAGUUGGUAGGGUAAAGGCCUACCAAGGCGACGAUCCGUAACUGGCCUGAGAGGAUGAACAGGCACACGGGAACGGAGACACGGUCCAGACUCCUACGGGAGGCAGCAGUGGGGAAUAUUGGACAAUGGGCGCGAGCCUGAUCCAGCCAUGCCGCGUGUGUGAAGAAGGCCCUCGGGUCGUAAAGCACUUUAAGUUGGGAGGAAGGGCUUACAGCGAAUACCUGUGAGUUUUGACGUUACCGACAGAAUAAGCACCGGCUAACUUCGUGCCAGCAGCCGCCGUAA
This 500-nucleotide ribosomal RNA is filed under the name uncultured bacterium. Its description in RNAcentral is "partial 16S ribosomal RNA". It matches the Rfam family "Bacterial small subunit ribosomal RNA", at positions 30 to 523 of the family's 1533-position model. The record is from RNAcentral.